Long non-coding RNA from Dreissena polymorpha, 1953 nucleotides. RefSeq lists it as uncharacterized. Lineage: Eukaryota; Metazoa; Mollusca; Bivalvia; Myida; Dreissenidae. The transcript has 3 exons. The record is from RefSeq and is a predicted model, not a curated record.
GACGUUGGUGUUCCGUGGCUUCCCUGGAAUAGGAUCGAAUCCUAGAACCGCCUGGCUGACUGGAGAUAGCGGUUCCACCAGUGAUCCUGCUUGUCAGCAGCUGGGAAAUACCUCCUGUACCAAACACUUCAGGCAUCGUAUCGCUUCGGUUUGGAGCAGCCUGCAUAUAGAACAGGUAAAGAUCGCGUUCUACAAAGACAGCUUGGAACAGAGCAUCACUUUCGACGGCAGAAACCGCACCCUCAGCAACUGGUUCACUCCGGACAGGAUCCUGAGCUCCACAUGGGGCAGUGUCCGGGCAAAUGCCAGCUUUUUUGCCUUUUCUAUUGAAGGGUUAUGACUUAUGUAUUUGCAUUAAAUACAUAUACACAUAAUGUUUUUAUUUAUACAAAUGUUCUUUCCGAUACUAUCUACAGAAUGUGUUAUUAUCAGUUACAAAUUAUUCAGCCAGUAUUCAAAAAGGCGUUUACUUGCAAAAUCUUUCACUGCCUGCAGCAGAAUUUUAUUCGUGUUACUUGUUUAAAGAUAGAAGACAUACUUCCUCAAAUUUGCGGGCGCUUCAUCGCUUUAACCGCUUGACGGAUUUGGCUUAAAUAUACGCAGCUGACGAAUCGCCAUCUACAUGUGAUUGAAAAGGAAGACAUUUUGGCUGCGACAAAUUUUCGCAAUAUAAUAAGCGUCUUUCAGUGUUCUACUACGGAAUUCUGGUAGCAUUACCUCAUUAACUUGUUUACACAUUUUUCUUAAAGGUAAACAGCGUGGUAGGUGUUUGAAAUGAAUGAAUUAUAGCUCCAACAUUUUUAGUAUUAUGACAUUUGCUAUAUACUCACAUGUUUUGAGAAACAUGCAAAAUUGUUUAUGCAAUAAAUUACUUUACUAAAUCGUCAUCAUUCGACAUAUUUACUAUUAUAGGAAACAUUUGGUAACUAGUAAAUGAAGGCAUUCCGCAACAAAUGCCUGUAAAAAUCAUUCACCAAGCCAACAUUCAAUUUAUAUUCAUAUUCAAACAUGUCAACAUAAUUGCCAGAUAAUAUUUUCUACCGGUACCAUGUUACAGGCAUUGUUCAAGAGCCUUUUACGUUCAACCAACCCAUUGGAGUGGGGGCUGCGCUGAUGACUUGCUGAUUGCUGCUGUUAUAACGUCGAACUGUGCGUGUGGUUAUGACAACCAUAUCACAUAUCCGAAAUUUUAUUUCGCUACUGGCAAUAACGCAGGAAAACCACAAACAUUGACAGGAAUGGCUUUGGCCGAUGGCUUCGCAAUUUUCAUCAAAUAGGAAUCAUUCAUUUAUUUACCCAUUUAUGCCUAGCGUCUAGAAAAAAGGCCUUUGCAGACAGCGUAGACCCAGAUGAGACGCCGCAUGAUGCGGCGUCUCAUCAGAGUCUGCGCUGUUUGUUCAAAGGAAUUUCUGUAAUAAAUAUUCUAAAUAUAGAAAUAAAUAUAAUAGACAUCUGUAAUUUUGGAAAUAAAUUGAUUCAAUUUAGAAGGGUGGGUGAGUCCACUAUGCAUAAAUGGGUUAACAGACAUGCGUCUGUAUAUCGAUGCGUUUAUAUGUCAAUGAUUCUUUUUUGCAACGACAUUACUACCAAAUAUUUGUUGAAAUCUACCGAUGUCUACACCAGUUUAUUAUUCAUGUUUGUAUAGUAUGUAUAUUCAUGAAAGCAAUACACUGAUUUUUCGUAACUUAGAUUUUGAACAAUAUUAAAGAAUAAAGCAGUGGUUUCACGAUCACUAGUACCAGAUGUAACAUUUUGAAUGAUGUUCUCAAUACAUAGUAUUUCUAUUUAUUGAUAAGUGCACCGAUAACGUUUUGAUUUAACCUUAUAUUUUAAUCAUAUUGUGUAGCCUCUAACUUAAAUUUCCGAUGACCUGAAUACCGCCUAUACAAUGGAGUUGUAAAUGACAUUAGUCAUCUCAUUUAAACACGUGGUUAUUAAAAAUUUAUCUCUUUA